UACGGAGGAUGCGAGCGUUAUCCGGAUUUAUUGGGUUUAAAGGGUGCGUAGGCGGAUUUUUAAGUCAGCGGUAAAAUGUCCGGGCUCAACCCGGGCCGGCCGUUGAAACUGGGGAUCUUGAGUGGGCGAGAAGUAUGCGGAAUGCGUGGUGUAGCGGUGAAAUGCAUAGAUAUCACGCAGAACUCCGAUUGCGAAGGCAGCAUACCGGCGUCCGACUGACGCUGAGGCACGAAAGCGUGGGGAUCGAACAGG
This 252-nucleotide ribosomal RNA is filed under the name uncultured bacterium. RNAcentral's name for it is "partial 16S ribosomal RNA". It matches the Rfam family "Bacterial small subunit ribosomal RNA", at positions 524 to 776 of the family's 1533-position model. The record is from RNAcentral.